ACUCCUUGGCCCUUGAUUUCAACAUGUACCGAUCAAGAUGAAAAUAAUCAAAAUGAGGAUAAUCAUUGGUUAUGUAGGUGUCAAGCAAACGCACCAAGCUUUUCAAAAAAGUGAAUAAUUGUUCAAAUCGCGAGUUAACUCAUACGAUUUUAUGAGUUAGAAUUACCAAAACGAGUCAAAACAUAUGUUAAAUUACAAUCAAG
This 203-nucleotide unclassified non-coding RNA is filed under the name Hevea brasiliensis (rubber tree). The record is from RNAcentral. Lineage: Eukaryota; Viridiplantae; Streptophyta; Magnoliopsida; Malpighiales; Euphorbiaceae.